UACGGGGGGGGCAAGCGUUGUUCGGAAUUACUGGGCGUAAAGAGCUCGUAGGCGGUUUGGUAAGUCUGGUGUGAAAUCUCCACGCUCAACGUGGAGGGGCCACCCGAUACUGCCAUGACUGGAGUCCGGUAGAGGAGUGUGGAAUUCCGGGUGUAGCGGUGGAAUGCGUAGAGAUCCGGAAGAACACCGGUGGCGAAGGCGGCCUGCUGGGCAGUAGCUGACGCUGAUGCGCGACAGCGUGGGGAGCAAACAGG
This 254-nucleotide ribosomal RNA is filed under the name uncultured bacterium. RNAcentral describes it as "partial 16S ribosomal RNA". It matches the Rfam family "Bacterial small subunit ribosomal RNA", at positions 524 to 776 of the family's 1533-position model. The record is from RNAcentral.